RNAcentral lists this ribosomal RNA (467 nucleotides) under uncultured bacterium. RNAcentral's name for it is "partial 16S ribosomal RNA". It matches the Rfam family "Bacterial small subunit ribosomal RNA", at positions 28 to 507 of the family's 1533-position model. The record is from RNAcentral.
GACGAACGCUGGCGGCGUGCUUAACACAUGCAAGUCGAACGGAAAGGCUCCAGCUUGCUGGCGUACUCGAGUGGCGAACGGGUGAGUAACACGUGGGUAAUCUGCCCUGCACUCUGGGAUAAGCCUGGGAAACUGGGUCUAAUACUGGAUAUGACCUUUCUCCUUAUGGGGUUUGGUGGAAAGUUUUUCGGUGUAGGAUGAGCCCGCGGCCUAUCAGCUUGUUGGUGGGGUGAUGGCCUACCAAGGCGACGACGGGUAGCCGGCCUGAGAGGGUGAUCGGCCACAUUGGGACUGAGAUACGGCCCAGACUCCUACGGGAGGCAGCAGUGGGGAAUAUUGCGCAAUGGGCGGAAGCCUGAUGCAGCGACGCCGCGUGAGGGAUGACGGCCUUCGGGUUGUAAACCUCUUUCAGCAGGGACGAAGCGUAAGUGACGGUACCUGCGGAAGAAGCACCGGCUAACUAGGUG